This is a non-coding RNA of Hydra vulgaris (swiftwater hydra), 755 nucleotides long. The record is from RefSeq and is a predicted model, not a curated record. NCBI's taxonomy places the organism in Eukaryota, Metazoa, Cnidaria, Hydrozoa, Anthoathecata, Hydridae.
UUUUUUUUUUUACUCUAAAGACAGGGGCGGAUGCAGAAUUUUUUGAUGUUUGAGGUAGCUAACUUUCUGACAUAGAGGAAACUCCAAUUUCCCCAUUAAGACCUAUCAGCCUUGUCACAGAACACUGCGCAGAAGAGCAUUCAACUUGGAAGUUAAUGCCUCCUUCUUUACAGAUGAUAAAAGCAAUAAAAAAGAAAAGUAAUUAUGUUGUUACAGAUGAUUAUGUGAUUGCAUCAGUUAUAGAUCUUGACAUAAUUUUAAAAGUUUUAAAUCAAUCGUUACAAUUAUGAAACUUGAAGGAGCAACGAACGUUAUUCAGAGAUUAGAUCAAGGAAAACAAUCCAGGAACACUAUAGAAACAGACCAGCAGCUUUUUAUUACUUUUAUUACUAAUGUAAUUAUUGGGUGUUAAAGUAAUUAAAACUAAAAAAGGUAAACUCAAUAAUUGGCAUCACUCAAAUAGGAUGCAUUUGAUUAACAAAACUAUAAUGAAUGCCAUUUCAAAAAAGUUAAUAUAUCAAUUUAACCAAUUUUUAACAAUACAUCCACCUUCAUUGUUUGUAAAUUCUUUUCAAUGCCUAAUCAAAGAACGAAUGCCGAUGGCUUGGAACUCUUUCGAGUCAAAAAAGUGAUUUUGGUGCUGUUGGAGUACUUUAUCAUAUUCAAAUCUUUCGUUGCGCAUAUUACCGUUUUGUAAUUAGAAUGAAUAAUAUUUAUUUGAUUCAUAGUUAUCAUUUAUUUUAUUAACGUUUGAA